RNAcentral lists this ribosomal RNA (468 nucleotides) under uncultured bacterium. RNAcentral's name for it is "partial 16S ribosomal RNA". It matches the Rfam family "Bacterial small subunit ribosomal RNA", at positions 28 to 507 of the family's 1533-position model. The record is from RNAcentral.
GACGAACGCUGGCGGCGUGCUUAACACAUGCAAGUCGAACGGAAAGGCCCUGCUUUUGUGGGGUGCUCGAGUGGCGAACGGGUGAGUAACACGUGAGUAACCUGCCCUUGACUUUGGGAUAACUUCAGGAAACUGGGGCUAAUACCGGAUAGGAGCUCCUGCUGCAUGGUGGGGGUUGGAAAGUUUCGGCGGUUGGGGAUGGACUCGCGGCUUAUCAGCUUGUUGGUGGGGUAGUGGCUUACCAAGGCUUUGACGGGUAGCCGGCCUGAGAGGGUGACCGGCCACAUUGGGACUGAGAUACGGCCCAGACUCCUACGGGACGCAGCAGUGGGGAAUAUUGCACAAUGGGCGGAAGCCUGAUGCAGCAACGCCGCGUGCGGGAUGACGGCCUUCGGGUUGUAAACCGAUUUCGCCUGUGACGAAGCGUGAGUGACGGUAAUUGGUAAAGAAGCACCGGCUAACUACGUG